This is a long non-coding RNA of Mauremys reevesii (Reeves's turtle), 582 nucleotides long. RefSeq lists it as uncharacterized. The record is from RefSeq and is a predicted model, not a curated record. Lineage: Eukaryota; Metazoa; Chordata; Testudines; Geoemydidae. The transcript is spliced from 3 exons.
AAGUGGCUGAACGGAAACUGGCUGUAAGAAGAAAGGUGGCUGGGAGUAGAAACUAGCGGGGACUGGGAAGCUGGAAGAAGCAGGGAUUACCAGAGACUGCUGGGAGGGGAGGCUGUGAAAAUCUAAGACAACGGGGACUAGAGGAAGUGGCCAGCAGACUCAAUCCCCAGGACAAAGUGGUGGAUGAGGAAGUGGAACUGAAGGAUAAUAUGGAGCACACGGCAGGGUCGUCCGGUGGUGUGGUGAAUCAGGACCUGGUUUUGACUCCAGAGGGGUCAAGCCAGUCCCAGCACUCCAGGUCUGGUGCCCAUGAUACAGGAGUGGGGAGUUCCGAGACAGUGAGACAGCCUGAAAAGGAGAGAUGAGCAGGAGCAGAUGAUUAAGCUUCUGGAGAACCAGACAAAGAUGCUCAAGUCUCUCAUCAUGCUGCAGUCAGCACAUCCAUGCACAAGACCUCCGGCAGCCAAUACAGAACUCUGUUCCAUGCCCUCCCUAAACUCCCCCACCACAUUCUUUGCAUGUUCCCAAUCCUUCCCAGUACCCUGUGCACGCCUUCUCUAGGGACUGAUUUCUCAGUGAAAG